GUUCUCGCUACUGACAAUGUUAUUCCCAUCCGUUUGCUUUUAUGUCUCUUCAAUAGAAUGCCAAGCCAAAGGAGCACUUUGAUGAAGCAUGCUGAAAGGAAGAGUCAUUUCAUCUGAUCCUGAAAUUUUCUUUCACUUUUGAAAGAUAUCAUAUUCAGUCAGUGAGUGAAGUAAACAGGGAGGUUGUGGGCAAAUCGAGGCCAAGCCAAACUCUGUAGCGAAAGGAGAGACCAAGCUGAAGAAGCAAAAGAUGUACCAGGACACGUUACUG
Molecule: long non-coding RNA, 271 nt
Organism: Mauremys reevesii (Reeves's turtle)
Lineage: Eukaryota; Metazoa; Chordata; Testudines; Geoemydidae
Exons: 3
Source: RefSeq, a predicted model, not a curated record